RNAcentral lists this ribosomal RNA (997 nucleotides) under Verrucomicrobiales bacterium. RNAcentral's name for it is "bacterial SSU rRNA". It matches the Rfam family "Bacterial small subunit ribosomal RNA", at positions 1 to 972 of the family's 1533-position model. The record is from RNAcentral. Lineage: Bacteria; Pseudomonadati; Verrucomicrobiota; Verrucomicrobiia; Verrucomicrobiales.
UUCGGAGAGUUUGAUUCUGGCUCAGAACGAACGCUGGCGGCGUGGAUAAGACAUGCAAGUCGAACGAGAUCCUUAGCAAAGCUUGCUUUGCUAAGUCUAGUGGCGAACGGGUGAGUAACACGUGAGCAACCUGCCCAGAAGCAGGGGAUAAGCCACCGAAAGGUGGUCUAAUACCGUAUGUGAUACCAAGAGGCAUCUCUUGGAUAUUAAAGGGGGGGACCUUCGGGCCUCCCACUUCUGGAUGGGCUCGCGGCCUAUCAGCUUGUUGGUGAGGUAACGGCUCACCAAGGCAACGACGGGUAGCUGGUCUGAGAGGACGAUCAGUCACACUGGAACUGAGACACGGUCCAGACACCUACGGGUGGCAGCAGUCGAGAAUCAUUCACAAUGGGCGAAAGCCUGAUGGUGCGACGCCGCGUGGAGGAUGACAGCCCUAGGGUUGUAAACUCCUGUCAUGAGAAAGCAAAGACUUAACGUUAAUACCGUUGGGUCCUGAUAGUAUCUCAAGAGGAAGGGACGGCUAACUUCGUGCCAGCAGCCGCGGUAAUACGAAGGUCCCAAGCGUUGUUCGGAAUUACUGGGCGUAAAGCGUGCGUAGGUGGCAUGGUAAGUCAGAUGUGAAAUCCCGGGGCUCAACCCCGGAACUGCAUCCGAUACUGCCAAGCUAGAGUAGUGGAGGGGAGUCUGGAAUUCACGGUGUAGCAGUGAAAUGCGUAGAUAUCGUGAGGAACACUAGUGGCGAAGGCGAGACUCUGGACACUAACUGACACUGAGGCACGAAGGCUAGGGUAGCGAAAGGGAUUAGAUACCCCUGUAGUCCUAGCAGUAAACGGUGCGCGUUUGGUGUGGGCGGGUUCGACCCCGUCCGUGCCGAAGCUAACGCGUUAAACGCGCCGCCUGGGGAGUACGGCCGCAAGGCUAAAACUCAAAGAAAUUGACGGGGACCCGCACAAGCGGUGGAGUAUGUGGCUUAAUUCGAUGCAACGCGAAGAACCUU